ACGUGGCGGCGCGGUCGCUGGAGGUUGAAGAAGCUCGAUCGCCUUCUCCAGUACGCCGAGAGGUAACCCCCUCGUUCGCAUCUCUCCCGGCCUGUGAAUGAUUAGUCCAAUCAGAUCGGAGUAGAUUCGAGGAGAAACGAUCUCUUCUCUAGCAAACGCAACUACUUUUCGGUGCAUACUAGAUAUGUAAACAAGAAUUUCUUUCUGAUUUGUUAGAAAAAGAUCAUGCUAUUUUGAGUAUUUCAUGCUGUUGCAAGUGAUUGUAAUAAUUUUUUUUUUGUAUUGCUACCGGCCGCUGCAGGCGCCAAAACGAAGUUCUCAUUUCUUUCAACAUAUUCCACAAGGAUUCAUCAGCCUUAUGGCAAACCUGGCUGGUAUCGGAUUAUAUGCCAUCGCUCCGCUUGUGUUGGUGGCUGUGAAGAAAUUGCCGUAUAUUAGCAAAUGUACUGGUAUGCACUUUGCAGCCUCCUUGACUUGCUUCCAGAGGAAAGCACAGCUUUGGUGGAGAUUUGUUUUGUUAAGAACAACCUGCUUCUCAUUUUGCAUUGAUUCUCUGAAUGAAGCCUGCUCAUGGUUUUGCAGACUGUGGAUACUUUCUUCUGUGACAAUUCCUACGGAGUAGUGGGGGUGAAGCGACGGUGUCAGGAGGCCACUGAACCAAGAGUUUAUUUAUAGCUGAAGAGAAGUAGGAUCCUGUCAAGUGCCUUCCAUGACUGGGCGAGGGGACAAUACCAUGAGUUCAGAACAUGCAAUUUGCAAGCAGAUCAAAGGCAACGUGAUGGGGAUCAGAUAUUGAUAUGGCGCCAAUUGUUUGGUCCAUGCUGGGUGCAUCACAAGGCACUACCAGUGCCACAUUGGUGGAUUAGUAGCAUGAGGAUCCCAUGCAAACUGGGUUCAACAUGUGAGGACCAGUUCUGUUGCUAUCGUGCAAUGAGAUGUUGGCAGACACGCCUUCUGAUUGCCACUGGGAAAGCUAGCCAGAAUGGUUCAGACGUUCGGUGUUCAAUGGUCUUAUUUUAGCAGGUGAUAAGCUGACUUGAUUGGGUUUGUGAUUGUGCUUAAUGUGUGUUCUUAAUUUUUAUUAUUAAGGUUGAAAAGAGACUGAGUUAGUUGAUGUAAGGAACACAACUUGAUGAACAAUGUUGUAUCUUAGUUCUGUUGAUGAGCAUUGCAUGUGGCAUCCAUUUCUUAGUGCGUUGACCAGCUGCAAACCAUGGUUUGUGAAUUUAGCUGCUAACUGAAGGUACGAAUAAUAGACAUGUACUUAAUGCAGUACUGACACACUUCUCAUUGAGCAUUUUCUGGCCUGCUGCCUGCUGUACAGUUUAAUUGGUUCAUGCGCGUUCAAAUUUUAGGUAACAGUUAAACAUCAGUUACUUGUUUCUACUAAAGAGACCUGCUGUAUACUGCUAAAUAAAACCUGGUUUCUCUUACAUUACCUUUUUUAACUAGUCUGGUAUUUCUUACCCCGAUGACCUUCUCAAGUUAUAUCCCGAGGGAUCAUCACUGCAUACUGAUUGUGCCACACAGUCAUUUCACUUUCUUACAGUUUCUAUAAUAUUUUUGAAGGACUUACUUAGUGCUAGAUUGUACAGAGGUAGAGAGAUUAAUUAUUGUAUUCAAUUUAAAUUUAAGUAAAACAAUGACAGCUAGUGCUGAAUUGCUGAUUGCCCCUGCUUGGUUGCUUGCAUGAUAAAAAAGCUUUACAUAACAAUUUCCUUUUCCUAUUGCCUAUUAUCUAACUCUCUUACACUAUCCAGGUAUAAACUACAACAAGCAGAAGACAACAUUAGGGGCACGCAUGUUUUUCAGCGGUUACGAACAGCAAUUUUUCUGGCUGUCUCCAAC
This 1848-nucleotide long non-coding RNA is filed under the name Triticum aestivum (bread wheat). RNAcentral describes it as "long non-coding RNA (TAES_LNC007713)". Lineage: Eukaryota; Viridiplantae; Streptophyta; Magnoliopsida; Poales; Poaceae. The record is from RNAcentral.